This 376-nucleotide ribosomal RNA is filed under the name uncultured bacterium. Its description in RNAcentral is "bacterial SSU rRNA". It matches the Rfam family "Bacterial small subunit ribosomal RNA", at positions 28 to 404 of the family's 1533-position model. The record is from RNAcentral.
GACGAACGCUGGCGGCGUGCUUAACACAUGCAAGUCGAGCGGUAAGGCCCUUUCGGGGGUACACGAGCGGCGAACGGGUGAGUAACACGUGGGUGACCUGCCUUUAGCUCUGGGAUAAGCCUGGGAAACCGGGUCUAAUACCGGAUAUGACUCCGCGGCGCAUGUUGUGGGGUGGAAAGCCUUGUGCGGCUGGAGAUGGGCCCGCGGCCUAUCAGCUUGUUGGUGGGGUGAUGGCCUACCAAGGCGACGACGGGUAGCCGGCCUGAGAGGGCGACCGGCCACACUGGGACUGAGACACGGCCAGACUCCUACGGGAGGCAGCAGGUGGGGAAUCUUGCGCAAUGGGACGAAAGCCUGACGCAGCGACGCCGCGUGA